UGGGGGAUCGUCUAACGGUAGGACUGCAGACUCUGACUCUGCCUAUCUAGGUUCGAAUCCUAGUCCCCCAGCCA
Molecule: transfer RNA, 74 nt
Filed under: Hyphomicrobium sp.
Lineage: Bacteria; Pseudomonadati; Pseudomonadota; Alphaproteobacteria; Hyphomicrobiales; Hyphomicrobiaceae
Also listed under: 15 other names
Description: tRNA-Gln
Rfam family: tRNA
About the family: Transfer RNA (tRNA) molecules are approximately 80 nucleotides in length. Their secondary structure includes four short double-helical elements and three loops (D, anti-codon, and T loops). Further hydrogen bonds mediate the characteristic L-shaped molecular structure. tRNAs have two regions of fundamental functional importance: the anti-codon, which is responsible for specific mRNA codon recognition, and the 3' end, to which the tRNAs corresponding amino acid is attached (by aminoacyl-tRNA synthetases). tRNAs cope with the degeneracy of the genetic code in two manners: having more than one tRNA (with a specific anti-codon) for a particular amino acid; and 'wobble' base-pairing, i.e. permitting non-standard base-pairing at the 3rd anti-codon position.
Source: RNAcentral